AGAUAGCACCAUGAGGGGAUUUAUUUUACUUGCUGCUUUUGUUGCAUUGGCCAGUUUGAUUACAGUGGAAUCAGCUAGAUGUGGUCGGAGAGAGUACGACCCAAGAUUCUACACCUGUUGUGGAAGAAGACUACAUUUAGGAAGCGGACAGUCAUGUUGCGGGACGAGGGCUUAUAAUUACCGAAUAUAAACAUGUUGUGCGGGCAGACUCAGUCUCGAAAGCGGACAGUCUUGUUGUGGGAGAAGGGCUUAUAAUUACAGAAUGUACACAUGCUGUGCGGGCAGACUCAGUCUCGGAAGCGGACAGUCCUGUUGUGGAAGAAGAGCUUACAACCGCAGGACACAUUCUUGUUGUAAUGGAGUCGUUCGUCUUGGAAAUUGUUAAACGAUCUGUGUCCUUUUUGUAGAUAUAUUACAUAUCAAAAUGUCA
Long non-coding RNA from Mercenaria mercenaria, 430 nucleotides. RefSeq lists it as uncharacterized. The record is from RefSeq and is a predicted model, not a curated record. The transcript has 2 exons. Lineage: Eukaryota; Metazoa; Mollusca; Bivalvia; Venerida; Veneridae.